UCUGAGGCUGGCGGAGCGUGCCAGGAGCAGCCCUGUGAUAGCUGUUUGCUGCUAACCUGCAACACUACCCUGAGCUGCUCCUGGCUCCAUCCCACGUCAA
RNAcentral lists this microRNA precursor (100 nucleotides) under Gallus gallus (chicken). Its description in RNAcentral is "microRNA gga-mir-6553 precursor". Lineage: Eukaryota; Metazoa; Chordata; Aves; Galliformes; Phasianidae. The record is from miRBase by way of RNAcentral.